RNAcentral lists this ribosomal RNA (468 nucleotides) under uncultured bacterium. Its description in RNAcentral is "partial 16S ribosomal RNA". It matches the Rfam family "Bacterial small subunit ribosomal RNA", at positions 28 to 507 of the family's 1533-position model. The record is from RNAcentral.
GAUGAACGCUGGCGGCGUGCUUAACACAUGCAAGUCGAACGGUGAAGGCGGAGCUUGCUCUGCUGGAUCAGUGGCGAACGGGUGAGUAACACGUGAGCAAUCUGCCCCUGACUCUGGGAUAAGCGCUGGAAACGGCGUCUAAUACUGGAUACGAGCUGCGAAGGCAUCUUCAGCAGCUGGAAAGAAUUUCGGUCAGGGAUGAGCUCGCGGCCUAUCAGCUUGUUGGUGAGGUAAUGGCUCACCAAGGCGUCGACGGGUAGCCGGCCUGAGAGGGUGACCGGCCACACUGGGACUGAGACACGGCCCAGACUCCUACGGGAGGCGGCAGUGGGGAAUAUUGCACAAUGGGCGAAAGCCUGAUGCAGCAACGCCGCGUGAGGGACGACGGCCUUCGGGUUGUAAACCUCUUUUAGCAGGGAAGAAGCGAAAGUGACGGUACCUGCAGAAAAAGCGCCGGCUAACUACGUG